AUUGAACGCUGGCGGCAUGCUUUACACAUGCAAGUCGAACGGCAGCGCGGGCUUCGGCCUGGCGGCGAGUGGCGAACGGGGGAGUAAUGCAUCGGAACGUGCCCAGUAGUGGGGGAUAGCCCGGCGAAAGCCGGAUUAAUACCGCAUACUACCUGAGGGUGAAAGCGGGGGACCGAAAGGCCUCGCGCGAUUGUAGCGACCGAUGGCGGGCUUGCUAGUUGGUGGGGUAAAGGCUUACCAAGGCUACGAUCGGGAGCUGGCCUGAGAGGACGACGGGCCACAGUGGGACGGAGAGAAGGCCCAGACUCCUAAGGGGGGCAGCAGUGGGGAAUAGUGCACAAGGGGCGGAAGGCUGAUGCAGUAACGCGGCGGGCGGGAGGACGGCCGUCGGGUGGUAAACCGCUUUCGCCUGUGACGAAGGGGGAGGGACGGUAAUGGGUAAAGAAGCACCGGCUAAGUACGGG
This 464-nucleotide ribosomal RNA is filed under the name uncultured bacterium. RNAcentral describes it as "partial 16S ribosomal RNA". It matches the Rfam family "Bacterial small subunit ribosomal RNA", at positions 28 to 507 of the family's 1533-position model. The record is from RNAcentral.